GUGAGGAAUUUUGCGCAAUGGGGGCAACCCUGACGCAGCAACGCCGCGUGAGUGAAGAAGGCCUUUGGGUCGUAAAGCUCUGUCAACAAGGAAGAAAUUACAAUUAUUUAAUAGAUAAUUGUAUUGACGGUACUUGUGGAGGAAGCGCCGGCUAACUCCGUGCCAGCAGCCGCGGUAACACGGGGGGCGCAAGCGUUAUUCGGAAUUAUUGGGCGUAAAGGGCGCGCAGGCGGUCUUGUCCGUCAGGUGUGAAAGCUCGGGGCUCAACCCCGGAAGUGCACUUGAAACAGCAAGACUUGAAUACGGGAGAGGAGAGAGGAAUUCCUGGUGUAGAGGUGAAAUUCGUAGAUAUCAGGAGGAACACCGAUGGCGAAGGCAUCUCUCUGGACCGAUAUUGACGCUGAGGCGCGAAGGCGUGGGUAGCGAACGGGAUUAGAAACCCUAGUAGUCC
This 451-nucleotide ribosomal RNA is filed under the name uncultured bacterium. Its description in RNAcentral is "bacterial SSU rRNA". It matches the Rfam family "Bacterial small subunit ribosomal RNA", at positions 354 to 796 of the family's 1533-position model. The record is from RNAcentral.